Molecule: RNA transcript, 9487 nt
Organism: Leopardus geoffroyi (Geoffroy's cat)
Lineage: Eukaryota; Metazoa; Chordata; Mammalia; Carnivora; Felidae
Gene name: translation initiation factor IF-2-like
Exons: 3
Source: RefSeq, a predicted model, not a curated record
CGCGAGAUCGUGACCUGAGCUGAAGUCGGACACUUAACCGACUGAGCCAUCCAGGCGCCCCCAAAAUGUAUCUUUAAGGAUGUUAUGGGAAGAAGCAUAAAUUCUCUCUUUGACCCUUCUUAGCUUGAACUGCCCAGCGGAGCAGGCUCUAGCCUGAGGCAGCCGAAAGUCUUACCAUUGUGCCUGUAGGGUGAGGCCUGAGGGGACACUAGGAGGACACCAAGAGCAUCGGCUUCUCUUUCAAACAAGAGGGCAGAGGAGCUGGCCCCCUUCCUUGUGUAACACAAACGUAUGCCAGAGAGUGGAGGCCACUCUUUAAAUGUUCUGUGAAAAUGCACAGGGAAGGAAGUUCUGCAGAACUGGAAACAUUGGAACAUGAACCAUAGUGGUGAGCAGUGUGGAGACAGAGCAGCCUACAUGAGGCCUGGAGCUGGCCUUAUGCCUGUUGUGAGCUGAGAGUUCAGGCCGGUGUGGGACACGGUGGAGGUCACAGGCCUUUCUGAAAUGGGAGUUGGAACCAGUCAUGACAGCACAAGUUAGGAAGGGGCUGUCCACUCUAUGCAGGGGACUUGGAGACUCUGCCCACCAGCCUGGUGGUGGAGCUCAGAGAGCAGCCAUCCCAGACUGGGACAGGACAGAGAGUUCUAGGAAAAUGCAGAACCAAUGGAAUAUAGGAUGCAUUCUACUAGAUCAAAAACUGUACGGAGUGCCUGUCGGAAGAGGUAGGAGGCAUUAGCUAUAGGUACAGAGGAAACUCAGCAGGUGAAAACAUAAAGGCAAAUGUUAACUCCAGGAAAAACAAAGAAAACAAUCUAAACAGAGUUCACUACUUGGCCCAGCAGUGAAUAGUAUUUACAUAAUUAUAAUAGUGCAAACAACAGUAACAAAAAAAAAAAAAAAUGAAAUAGUUCACUUGGGAAGGUGAAAGAAAAGAAAGACUGGGAGCUGAGGGUGCUGGUGAGAGCUCCUUCAGUGACAUCUCAUAAUGUCUAAAUCUGGUUUCAAAAAAAAAGCAAGGGCAUGUAAUUUAAAAAUGUGGAGAAACAUCAGACAAGAAACAGCUGAAAGAAUUGAGAGAGGCUGACACCAGACCCUUGGACCCAGGGUCCAGAGUGGGACUCGGGGACCACUACGGACUUGUUGAAAGUGGCCUAACUUUUUGGCUCCUUCUGUUCCUUUUAUCUAUGUAUCUGUCUUUCUUUGGUAAUAAUUAAAACAAACAAACUGGAACUCCAAACUGAAAAUAACAAAGAAAAAUGCAUUCAUAUUCCCACCAUAAAAUGCCACAGUUUGGGACAUUAAAGAACAGACUUUGACUAAGUCGUUGAUUAGAAAAGGAAUUAAAAUGGCAUCACAAAAUCUUUUAAAGUGAAUGAUAAUGAAAACACUGUUAGUCAAAAUUCCUAGAUGCAGCUGACGUAGUACUUAGACUCUCAUAGCCUUCAGUUCCUAUAUCAGAAAACAAGAUAGUGGUUUUUGCCGAGUGAGGAAACUAUAGAUAUUUUUAAUUUCUUCUUUGUGCUGACCCACACUUUCUAGUUUUCUAAAGAAGCUGUUUUUGGUUUUGUUGACCUUCCCUGUUGUUUCUUCUGGACCAUUCUGGCCAGGAAGAACCCCCCCCCCCCCGCCCAUUCCCCAUAGGAGCUUCUGUGGGGUCAGCCUUGUGGGCUAUCCAAGAACUAUUCAUUCCACGUGGCUGAGAUUGUGUGUCUGCCUUCCCUGGGAUGGUCAGGGGCCAGGGUCUAUGCAGGGUCACCCAUGGGUCCCAGCAUUCAGCAGGCAGUUAAGACCUGCAGAGUGGGGGUCAGCCAAGGUGACGCUUGGGAAGCUGAGCAGGGCACCUGGCCACAGGACACGCGAGUCCCACUCUGGCUGCCAUUGGGAAUGAGGGGGCGAGCCCAGCACAGUGCCGCAGGGGCUGACUGCCUCACCCUGUACCCCUAAGUCCUGCUUGUCACCCCCAUGUGCCCAUCUCCUGCCCAGGAACUGCCCUUGUCUUCCUCCAGGUGGGAGGAGGGAAAAUCAGGGGCCCCUUGCCCCAACCACCCACCCCAUGGUUCCAUGGCACUGCCGGCUUGGCGGGUCCCACCGUGGCGGGCCUGGUCUCAGCUGCCGAAUGAAGCUGGAUGGGGCAGCACUGUCACUGCCCAGCCCCUGGGAGCCUGGGCAGGGCAUUAGGGCCGUCGCGCCCAGGAGCCAGGUGUUUGCUGUGUCCUGCCUGUGGGCCCACAGCCAGGGCGGGAGGGGGCCUGGCCCAGGCCCCAGGCCCUGGGUUGGAGAGGCCAAGCCGGCUCUGGAACCCUUUCCUCUGGGAGAAACAGCUCGGCCAGCACAGAGCACUUUGGGGAUCCAGGAGCAGCAGCAGGAAAGGUGAGCAGGGGUCGGACCCAGAGCAACCCCCGCCCCCCCCCCCGACCCCCAACAGGGGCUUUGAGCUCCAGGGCUUGCUGGCAUGUUCUGGGGAUGUGUCCUCAGCUGGUGGGGCCCUCUGGAGAGGACUCAGCCUGGAGGAGUGCAGAGAGAGCCUGUGUGGGCGCUCUGCCCUGCGGCCCCACCCCUGCCUGCAGGACCCUGUCCCCCGAAGCAUCCUGUGCUGCUCUGGAACGUACACCUUGCCGGGCAUGGCCUGCCCGGGGCCCUGGCCAUACCCCACGAUCACAGGGUGGCCGCCUCAUGCCUGUGCCCUGGGCCAGCCGGGGGCCCCAAAGUCAGAGUGUGUGGCCUCCACGUAAGCCAAGAGGGGUGGGGGCACAACGCUGCAGGGCGGAGGGGAUAUCAGGGCCGAGCCGGGGCCUGGACAUCACCAGCACCCUUCAAAGACCCGCCCCCACCCCCCACCCCGCCUCUUUGCCCUACAGACACUGCUGAGCCGGGUGGGCACUGGGGACCCGAUGGGGGCAGGAAGGGCAGGUUCUUGCCCGCAGGAAGUUUCCCACCGGCACCUUCCAGAGUCGGUCCUCCGGGGCUGGACUUACCGCAAUGCCGCUUAUGACCGUCGGGCCACGUGGCCAGAAGUGGGAUCUGGGUGCCUGGGGCUGUACGCACACCCCAGUAUCGUACCUUCGAGGCACUGAGUGGGGAGGUGCUACGGUCCCCGUGUCAAAGCAGAGCAUGGCGAGGCUCAGGGUGCCCCCGACCUGCCCGGGGCACCGUGGGGUGAGCCGGUGGGAGCCUGCCGCAGGGUUCAGACAGGUGAUAUGGCAGUGAGUGCUCCGAGCGCCCCGGUGAGUGCUCCCAGCAUCCGGGGAGGGGCAGCAGGGAGCCCCUCGAGACAGCCAUUUCCCCAAGCGGCUGUGUUCCCUCCCCAUUGUGGAGGGAGAGUCCCACCUGCUGGGCCCCCACCCCCACCGAGGUGUCCCCUCUCUCUCCUGUAUCUGCCCUUCCCCACAGCAGCAGGACACACAGCCUCAUCUUCCCUCUCUCGGGCCCCCAGCCCCUCCAGCUGCCUCCGUUCGGUCCUUCCAGCCACGCGUCCCGGGCGCCAGCACUGUCCUCCCCCUCAUCCGCCCCCCACCCAGGCUCUGGAGUGAGCCUCCCCUUGCCUGGUGCUAUCUGCCCUCUGCCUGUCACCUGCCCCUUGCCCGCCAGGGGCCCUGUCACUUAGCAGCGAGUGGUGAGUAGACAGACUCUCAUUAAAUCCUGGUGAACCGACUGACCAGCUGACAGAGGUCCGAGGAGGCACGUUGCCUCAGGCCCAGCCACUGGUCUGGCCAGGUGUCCCCAGAUGCUUCCUCUUGUCUGACAGGCACCGCCCUAAUGGCCCCCAAACUGCGGGGGCCCUAAGACCUCUACCUCUCUGGGCCCGAGGUAGCCUCUCCAGGAGACAGAGAGGCCAGGUUGAGUUAGGGUUCGAACCUACUGCAGAGGAGGUGAGAGGACGCCGCACACCCCAGAGAGACUCGAUUUCUUGGAACGCACACCCUUCGGGUUUGCUAUUUUUACCCGCCCCAGCCUUCCGGUCUCCAUGGCGACGCCUCCAAACAGCAGAUUCCAGGCGGCAAUGACGUCACCUUUCCCCUUCCUGCCGCCCAGGCCUCCGGGCGCUGCCGGGCCGACCCCGUCGCGCGCCCCCCUGCGCCCCGGCCGGGCCCCCACCCCCCUCCCCUCCCCCGGCCGUGGGGUCCCCCGCGCCCCCGCGCCCCUGCCCGCCCGCCGGCGGGGCCUUGGGGGGCCGCGCGGCCCGUCCCCGCGGGGCGGCUGUGCUGGAGCCCCCGUGGCAGAGGGCACGGGCCCAGGGCGGCCCUCCCUCCCGCUCCGGGAUCCCUGCCAUGCGGGCCGCCCUGUGGGAGCUGCGCGGGCCCUCGCGGCCGGGGAGGCAGGGGCAGGCCGGCGCCAGGCCUCGCUGGCUGCGGGGGUAGCAGCCCGUCUGGCCUGGGAAGCCCCUGCCGCUCCCUCGUCGGAAACCGGUGACCUACGGCAGAGGGGCUCCGAGGUGGCGGGAGAGCCGCAGGGGCCCGUGGCCUGGUCGUUUGAGCCCCUGCCGCUGUGCCCCUGGGCGUCCGAACCCCCUCCCGCAUGGUGGCAGUCCUGCCCGGGCCUGUCGUGGGCCAUGCGCUGCACACCUGGGUCCUGAUCGGCAGUGGAGCCGUGCGGCCUCUGCUCCUGGGCCCGGGUCUCCCACCGGGGGUCAACCGCCGCGGCCGUGUGGGCCAACACUUUACCCGGCUGUCCCUGUAACGCCCAGCCUGAGCUCAGUCCUCGGCGCAAACCAAGCACAAGGACACUUGGGGCUGGAGGGCCAGCCAUGUGCGACUGGGGUCGGGUGGGAGCGUGGGCUACCCGGGUCACCGCCCCCCACCUCCCGUGAAACACCCUCCCCUUCCCCCCUCCGGGUGCUAGCGCCACACUGUGGACUCACUUUCUCCACAGUGGUUGAGGAGUCUCCUCGGUGGCUCGUGGGGUGGGAAGCGCCGCGUGGGGUGGGGGCACCACACCCCUGCUGUGGCCUGCUGGGGUGCGGGGGUGCUGGGGGGCCCCCCACCCCCACCCCAAAGCAGGGCCCGCCCCUCCCCAGCAGCCCAAGGGGCGGAGACAAAAUAACCCCCGGCCCCACCCCCAGCAGCCUCCCCCACCCAAAGCAGAAGCUGGGCCUGAGGUUCAGAGAGGGGAGCGGGACAGGCAGGGCAGAGGCGGCACCGCGGGGGGGUGGGGGCCGGUCGGAGAGUCGGGGCCACGCUGCAUCGGGCCAGCGUCCAGAAGGGCAAAGAAGGCGCUUAUGGCAGCUACACCGUCGGCUGCGGUCUCUGCUCCCAGAAACGGUAUUGAAACAAGGUGGUUUCGAGGCUCACAUUCCUGCCCUCCUGCUCGAUGUGAGGUACGAAGCCCCAACUCGCCCCUGUCUGACGUGGGCAGGCGCGCUCGCAGGCCCGGGCACGAGGCAGGCAGGUGGGCCGCCCGUCUCCAGAGCCCCGCACGGACGCAUUCACAGAAAGGUGUGCAGAGAAGCAGCCAGCCCUGCAGGUGGGCCUCGUGACCCCUGCGAGCCUGUCUGUCCUCAGGCUGUGUCCCAGGGGCCCUGCCCGUGCUGGGGGCCCCAGGCAGGCGGCCGGGCCCCCUGGAGUGGGGGUGGCUCUAGCCGGAGGUGGACGGGGCUGUCCACUUAAGCACCAACUCCAGCGGGCUCUGUCCAGGCAGAAGACAGGAAGGGGUCACUGGGUCUGGGGAGCUGUUGGACACUGAGGGGCCCGAGAGCAGGCUUCGUGGGAAGGGUGUGAAAUUUGAGGACAAACAGCUCGUGGCCCCGCAGCAAGCGGAGUCUGGGCACCCCCGGCACCCGCGGGCAGCCCUCUCCGUCUGCCCUUCUGCCUCGCGCUCUUUACGUAACAACGCAGGCUCCUGGGACCACCACUGCCCCUACCCUUUCCUCCCGACUUGACCGUUUGGGCUCCUGCCAGGCCCCACGCGAGGCCCCUGGUCUGAGCUCCGGUCAGCCAGACGUGUCCUGCCCAGGCUGAGAUCCAGGAGGAGGUCAGGGGGCUCUGGCCCUGAGGGGCGGUGGUGUCCACGGGGGAGACCCCAUGCCAGGCAUGAAUGUGGAAUCGAUUUCUUCCACCAAGUUGAUCAAGGACCUGUAUUUACUGAGAGAUGAGCAGGAAAAAGUUCUUGUUCUCAAGUGCUUACGGUUUCAUGAGAGACAAUGAAAAAUUAAAUUUCCAUAUGUUUUAUACGAGAUGGGGACACGCAGUCCUACAAAGAGUAGACCAGAGUGAGGUAGAUGGGAUGCUGAGGGGGCUCCUUAUGAAGUCCAUUUCAACAAAGCCCUAAAAUGGGUAAGGAAUGAGCAUUCUGGGUGGAGAACAGCAGGUGCAAAGGCCCUGAGGCAGCAGUUCUGGUCAGGGUCCACGUGUUGGGGGGAGGGUGGUGAAGUAAGGAGGAGGGAGAGGUGCGGGAGGGUGGGCAGAUGACACUGAGCCUGCUGUUCACCCCCAGCAUUGCUCCCCCAGGGACAGGGUCCUAGGGGGUACUGUGUCGAGCCUGAGAGCCCCCCCCCCAUCUCUGUCACUGACAGGCUGGGGCAGAACAGCUUCCGGGUGGGGCGAAGGGAAGGGAAGUUCGGCAAACAGCACCCCCUGCCUCCGCUUUGCUGCUGGAAACACUGGGGACUGGAUACGGACAAUAGAUUCCGAGUGGCCGAGGCUACUUUUCUGAAUGCUGUGUCCCCAGGCUGGAGUAACAGCCAAGAGGAAGUCCCUCGCCUGGCCCUGGCCAGGCCCCUCCGUGGUCCCUGGGCAGCCCCUCCCCACCCUGCCCAGGGACCCCCUGCCUGCUGCCCUGCCCGUGACUUUAGGAGUUGGCCAUGGGGCCGGAGGGCCUGGGUACGGGGUGCAGGCUGCCUGGCCCGCCCCCCCCAGAGCCACCUCCCACAGCCCCACGGACACGGCAGGGAAGGUCCUGCGGCCACGGGCCUGGCAUUGGCCUCUGCCCAGCACCUUCCACAGACCGCCCCACCUCCAGGCCGAGCGCUGCCCAGAGGCUCUCAUCUCCGUGAGUAAUGUUUAACUUGGAAGGGCUGCCGGGGAGAGGUUAACAAGUUUGGAUUGGGAUCUGCCUGCAGGAGGGGGAGAGGGAGAGGGGAGGGGGAGAGGGCAAAGUUGAGAGGGAGGAAGGGGGGCAGGAGGCGGGGCUGCGGGGCCGGCUCUCACGGGGGGGGGGGGGGGGGCAGGGCUUGAAGGGCCCCUCCCUGGGAUCUCCCCCCUGCCAGCUGGGCCCUGCCAGCGACUCCUCCCCGGGGAGGGGGGGCUUUGAGGCUGAAGACACACCCUGGGCAGCGGGCUGAGCCUCUCUGGGCUCGGUCUCCCCCACGGGAACCCCGCGGUCAAAGCUCUGGGGGAGAGAGAGCACGAGGAGUGCACACACACACACACACGGGCCCGUGCACACGCACCAACACACGCUCAGGAACAUGGGCUGUGGGCGGAAGGGCCCCCUGCAGAGCCAAGGCUUCCCCGCGAGGGACCCAAGGAGCAAGGAUGAAGCCUGGCCGGGGUGGGGGUGCCGGGCAGCAGGAACACCGAGCUCCUGUCCUGCCCCCUCCGGCUCCGGUGUCCAUCGGCCACACCUGAGAAGGCCGAGGGGCGCUGGGGAGGACUCCACUCCAAGCGACCAAGGGGAGAGGCCUUCUGUUCCACCCUGUGUCAGGGACGGGCCACCCCGGGCCGCCAUGCUAGGCGGGGUCUGCCCGACUCCCCCACCAGGACCCUGCCCGGGCUGGAGCUCCCUCACACCAGGCAGAGCGCCCCCCCCCACCCCCCCUUCAGCAUCUGUAAGACAACGGAUGCCUUUUCACGAAGAUGGCUCUUCAGGGAAAAUGCACCCCUCUCCAACCUCGGGUAGUUUUUCCCGACCGGCUUUACCCCUGGGGGGCCCAAACACCUGCUCUUGGGGAAGGGCCUACCCUGGCUGGUUGGGCCCCCCGGCACCAGGUGGAGCAGGGGUCUCACCCUCACGGAGUAACAGCAGUUGAUGGAAGAUGCUGGAAGGGAGUCCCUUUCCCGCCUCGGCCAGCCCGCCAGCCAGCCGCUGUUGUUUCUCUAAAGAUAAACUGUUUCACUUUGAACUUCCUCCUUGAGAAUUCUGAAUUCUGACCUGUCUUGUGAGCUUGGCAAAGGGCCUGGACAGAGUAAGGAUAUUCCCCCCCUCCCCCGGUGUGCGUGUGAUUGCACAUCAGAGCCUGGGUCUCAGGGCGCCCUCCCCCCAAGUGGUGGAGCCUGGGUCUCGGGGCGCCCCCCGCCCGAGUGGUAGCUGGCAGGGCACCUGGAACCCAGCUGGCGCUCUGCGGUCGGUGUAUUUGCAUCCCCUAAAAUUCAAGGUUUCACCUUGAAACCUAAGCCCCCACUAGAGAAGUGAGGACUGUGGGAGGCGAGUAGCUUACAAGGGGGAAGCCCCAUGAUGGGAUCAGUGCCCUCGAGAGGGGACCCCAGAGAGCUCCCUCGCCCCUUCUUCCGGGUGAGGACACAGCAAGAAGUCGGUCAUCUGUGACCCAGAAGAGGGUCCUCAGCAGACCCCGGAUCUCAGCCUUGCAGCCCCCGGUCUGCGGUAAUCUGUGAGCAGCCCAGGCGGACUGAGACAGCGGGCGUCAGCACCCCUGCCGGGGCGUGCUGGCUCCCAGGCCAGGCUGGGGAGGAAUGGAGAGGCUGAGGCCAGAGGGACCCUCGCUUUCCCCGGAGGAGGGCGUUCUCAGGGCCCAGGCCCGCCCCCAGCUGGGGUACAGAAGGCCCGGGUGGGGUGACGAAUCUCCGGGGUUUCUCCCACCCUUAGCAGUGUGUCCAAGCACGUUGAUAGGGGAUUUGGGGACAGUCAGGAGCCCGUCGCUGGAGCCUGCAGCCUCAUGUGGCAGGAAAUGCCCAGAGUGGAGACCACAGGCUCCUCAGGCUCCUCAGGGCCCUGCCCCCCAGUCCACGGUGCUGCCCACCACACGUGGCCCCCGAGCACUCACUCUGUGGCCAACGGGCCCUGCACUUGGUUCCAGACAUCUAGCGUGACCAGAGAACAUGUGACAACACGCUCAUCACUGACCUGGGAGGAGGGGCCGACAGGGGGACAAAGGCCGCGAUGGCAAGGGCAGGUCUGAGGAUGGGCGCAUCAGGGACAACUGACCAGCAGAGAGAGGACAGUGCCUGCAGGUGACAGCAGGGGACGCCGGCGGAGGUGGCGUGGCCCAGGUCUGUCUCACAGGACUCCGUGCUGCGGGGCAUCACCACCACUUGAGUACAGGUCCCUCACCAGCUGUCUCCGGAAGCCCCGGCCCGUGGGGACAAGGGCAGCUGGAACCCACCCCGGCUGUCCCUCUGCCACGUGCCCACCAACUCCAGGCCACUCUGGGUGGUCAGGGGGCCUGGGGCUGUGGCCCUCAGGGAAGGCUGCCCAGCAGUGGCAGGCAUCUGGGGCCUCUCUUUGUCCCCAGGGGGCCCCUGUGGCCUGAAGUCCUGGCAGAUCUUCCCUCCCUGUCCACAUGGCUUGGUGGCUUUUUCUUUGUACUGUCUGCCCC